Molecule: long non-coding RNA, 1734 nt
Filed under: Gouania willdenowi (blunt-snouted clingfish)
Lineage: Eukaryota; Metazoa; Chordata; Actinopteri; Blenniiformes; Gobiesocidae
Description: lncRNA (ENSGWIG00000015325.1)
Source: RNAcentral
CCUGCACAUGACAGCCACCCUCCAGGAAAUGACUGCCAAAGCCCUGGUUUAGAGUAGUUAUCAGGUGCUGUCAAACUGAGAAAGUGAAUGUUAUUGUUGCUUUAGAUUUGUUCUAACGCAGGGUUACUCCGGCUCUUUCAUAGGAAUCCUCCUACAGAUCAGGAUAAUGUCAGAAUUCCUUUGAGGACGAAGUUGUUUUGAUCAUUACAUCUGUUGAGAGUGGAAGAUCGAGCAAGAUUGAAGCGGACGGAGAAAAAUUGAGCAUUCUAACACAUUAUCCCCAUCUGAACUAGUCAGAGCACCUCACAAAGACAUCCAGGCACCUGAUUUCAUCACAAAGUGGAUUUUUACCCAGGACAUUUACCAGAGACGGAGGUUUUUUACAGAACCGCUGGGAAUUUACAGUCUAUGUAACUGUGAAGAAGACAAAAAGAAAAGGAAAAUAAAAAGCAGAAAGAUGACGAUGGCGAUAGUCCUACAAGUGUGCUUGCUGCUAUUGGUCGUCCUCCAGAGAGGCACUCCCUCUUUAGCUCAGACCAUCACCUCAGCACCAACCACUGCUGAUGCUGCUGCUACUGCUGAUGCUACUGCUGAUGCUACUGCUGAUGCUGCUGCUGAUGCUGCUGCUGAUGCUGCUGCUGAUGCUGCUGCUGAUGCUACUGCUGCUGGGUAUUCUACAAUACCUGUGAACACCACAGUGGCUGUGGGACAGCCUGCAGUAUUUUACUGUGGCGUGCCCCCAGAAACCCCACAACUCACAUUCACUUUCUACAGAGGACAAAGCAACUAUACCAUCACCUGUCCUAGUGAUCAUUUAGAGGAUGUCAGCCAGGCUCUCUAUGGAAGUUGUUUAAUGACCAAAAAUGAGUCUCUUGCUGUGUGGAGCAUCAAAGGAACCUCUUUCUCAGACAACGGCACAAGAGUCGUGUGUCAGCAGCCACAGAACCUUAUCAAACCAACUGCAUUUCUGCAUGUUUAUGAUAAUGGCGUCUCCUACUACAUCCUGAUUGGCUGUGUCAUUGGGGGCUUCUUUGGUAUCCUGCUGGUCUUUGGUUUGUUUAUCAUCACACUGCAAAGAUCAGAACGGUUCCGGAGAGCAUUUGGAGGAGGAGAAGCAGAAGAUGACAAGACUGAAAUUGUAACAAAGGAGGAAAAGAAGAUUUAAAGUCAUGAUGCACUAAUGUGUAUGAAUUAAGCCUGUCUAGGUAAUUUUAUGUUCUUUGACCAAGAUAAAUAUAUCCGUCCACUUUAAUUUGCACACAAAACUACAUGUGAAGAAACCAGGCCCCAACUUCUACUUUUGCACCUUUAUAUGGUAGUGUAUGCACUCAACUUAUCACUGGAUUGGUUCUCUUCAUAAAAUUAAACAUGCAGAAAUGAGCUGCCAGACUGCACGAAGCACACUUUUUUAAGAACAGUUUGAUACUCUUAAAAUACUCCAAAAAAUUGAACACUGUUUCUACAAUGUUAUUGGUGGGUUAAGCUUUGGACGACACUAUCUUACUGUGCUGAGAAAGUCAUCAUGAACAGCAAAAUGCCUUGAAAACGCUGACCAGUUGCUGAACUUAUAACUUAAAGGAGAAACAAACUCUAUACUGGUGGUGGUUGCUUUAAAUACCAUGUGGGAAAAUACAUUACUGUUUUUUGUGUUUGAACUGUGAAUUUUAAUUAAACUGUAUUAUUAAAGAAUAUUAAAAAGGUAUAAUAAAAAUAAUAAUUUGUUGCUAAUUGUCA